RNAcentral lists this ribosomal RNA (433 nucleotides) under uncultured bacterium. RNAcentral describes it as "partial 16S ribosomal RNA". It matches the Rfam family "Bacterial small subunit ribosomal RNA", at positions 29 to 507 of the family's 1533-position model. The record is from RNAcentral.
AACGAACGCUGGCGGCAUGCCUAACACAUGCAAGUCGAACGAGACCUUCGGGUCUAGUGGCGCAUGGGUGCGUAACGCGUGGGAACCUGCCCUUAGGUUCGGAAUAACUCCCCGAAAGGGGUGCUAAUACCGGAUAAUGUCUUCGGACCAAAGAUUUAUCGCCUUUGGAUGGGCCCGCGUUGGAUUAGCUAGUUGGUAGGGUAAAAGCCUACCAAGGCGACGAUCCAUAGCUGGUCUGAGAGGAUGAUCAGCCACACUGGGACUGAGACACGGCCCAGACUCCUACGGGAGGCAGCAGUGGGGAAUAUUGGACAAUGGGCGAAAGCCUGAUCCAGCAAUGCCGCGUGAGUGAUGAAGGCCUUAGGGUUGUAAAGCUCUUUUACCCGGGAUGAUAAUGACAGUACCGGGAGAAUAAGCUCCGGCUAACUCCGUG